GUUAGUCUCUUGUUUCCGAUUAUAAUUUUUCUAAGUUUACUAAGGGCUGAAAAUAACUAGUUCUGAUUCUGAGAUUAAACUGAUUUUGUCAUUGUAUGAAUGAAUUCUAAAAAAAAUUUAGAUGCUAUUAACACUACUUUUAAAUGAUUUAUAAACCAUUAUACAAAGUUUGAAUUUUUGUUUAAAAGGGUAUUAAAUGUAAAGAAACAAAAUGGAAAAGUAAGCCUUGAAGAAAGUGGUGAAAUGAAACAUCUAAACAAAUUGUGGUAUGAUUGAAACCUUUAAUGCGUUAUUAAGGUGAGUUAAUAAUUGUAUAAGUCCUUAGGGAUAAAAAUUAAAAAAUAAAAGGUAAGAUUCAUAAAUGAAUUAAAUGUCAAAAUUGUUAAUAAAUUAUCAAACUAUAAGUUGAGACUUAACCUGAAAACUCGCAUAAAAUGGUUAAAAAUAGUGACAAUGUGGCUUAAAAAACUUAAAAUGAUUAUUCAUCUAAAGGGCUCAAGGUUUAUAAAGGCUUAGGAUAAAGUUUAAUUGUCCAUGUUACUUACUAAGUUUUAUAACUCACACGUUAGUUGUUUAAAACGAAUAGGUACAAAUUUACUGAGAAGUUGCUAUGAUAGCUAGGGAG
Molecule: long non-coding RNA, 625 nt
Filed under: Gossypium barbadense (sea-island cotton)
Lineage: Eukaryota; Viridiplantae; Streptophyta; Magnoliopsida; Malvales; Malvaceae
Description: long non-coding RNA (GBAR_LNC011685)
Source: RNAcentral